Molecule: long non-coding RNA, 239 nt
Filed under: Fukomys damarensis (Damara mole-rat)
Lineage: Eukaryota; Metazoa; Chordata; Mammalia; Rodentia; Bathyergidae
Description: lncRNA (ENSFDAG00000033489.1)
Source: RNAcentral
ACUCGGGUUUUCUAUUGCACGGUGCCUGGAAUUAUCUGUCUGCUAUAUUUUUAAUGUCUAGAUUAUGACCAGCAGGUUGCUCUUUCUGAGGCAUUGUGUAGAAUGACAACUAGAACAUCAAGGAAUGACCUUGUGCACCAGUGGUUCGAUGAUGACAUCCUUGCUGAAGGUUUCAAGGAAAUUAAGGAUCGAGAAUUUGAGACAGACAGUCGAAGGUUUCUGAAUCUCCUCAAUGACAG